This is a non-coding RNA of Populus trichocarpa (black cottonwood), 156 nucleotides long. Lineage: Eukaryota; Viridiplantae; Streptophyta; Magnoliopsida; Malpighiales; Salicaceae. The record is from Rfam.
UCUAGAACUCGAGAUAUUGACUGAACACUGAAGAGUAUUUAGGCUGCAGGACAGAUUAAGACUUCUCUUUUAUUGCUAAGAUGUGAACUUCAAAAUGGCAUAAUUGAGUCUUGGACUCUUCAUGAAUAUUUUAGGCCUAUGUCUUAGCUUUCUAUC